GAUGAACGCUGGCGGCGUGCCUAAUACAUGCAAGUCGAGCGAACAGACGAGGAGCUUGCUCCUCUGACGUUAGCGGCGGACGGGUGAGUAACACGUGGAUAACCUACCUAUAAGACUGGGAUAACUUCGGGAAACCGGAGCUAAUACCGGAUAAUAUAUUGAACCGCAUGGUUCAAUAGUGAAAGACGGUUUUGCUGUCACUUAUAGAUGGAUCCGCGCCGCAUUAGCUAGUUGGUAAGGUAACGGCUUACCAAGGCAACGAUGCGUAGCCGACCUGAGAGGGGGAUACGCCACACCUGAACUGAGACACGGUCCCGACUCCUACGGGAGGCAGCAGUAGGGAAUCUUCCGCAAUGGGCGAAAGCCUGACGGAGCAACGCCGCGUGAGGGAUGAAGGUCUUCGGAUCGUAAAACUCUGUUAUUAGGGAAGAAAAAAUGUGUAAGUAACUAUGCACGUCUUGACGGUACCUAAUCAGAAAGCCCCGGCUAACUACGUG
RNAcentral lists this ribosomal RNA (497 nucleotides) under uncultured bacterium. RNAcentral's name for it is "partial 16S ribosomal RNA". It matches the Rfam family "Bacterial small subunit ribosomal RNA", at positions 28 to 507 of the family's 1533-position model. The record is from RNAcentral.